GCCCUCGUAGCUCAGGGGAUAGAGCGCGGCUCUCCUAAAGCGGGUGUCGCAGGUUCGAAUCCUGCCGGGGGCACCA
Molecule: transfer RNA, 76 nt
Filed under: Streptomyces sp. MBT65
Lineage: Bacteria; Bacillati; Actinomycetota; Actinomycetes; Kitasatosporales; Streptomycetaceae
Description: tRNA-Arg
Rfam family: tRNA
About the family: Transfer RNA (tRNA) molecules are approximately 80 nucleotides in length.
Source: RNAcentral